RNAcentral lists this ribosomal RNA (486 nucleotides) under uncultured bacterium. Its description in RNAcentral is "partial 16S ribosomal RNA". It matches the Rfam family "Bacterial small subunit ribosomal RNA", at positions 30 to 507 of the family's 1533-position model. The record is from RNAcentral.
AUUGAACGCUGGCGGCAUGCCUUACACAUGCAAGUCGAACGGCAGCACGGGUGCUUGCACCUGGUGGCGAGUGGCGAACGGGUGAGUAAUACAUCGGAACAUGUCCUGUAGUGGGGGAUAGCCCGGCGAAAGCCGGAUUAAUACCGCAUACGAUCUACGGAUGAAAGCGGGGGACCUUCGGGCCUCGCGCUUUAGGGUUGGCCGAUGGCUGAUUAGCUAGUUGGUGGGGUAAAGGCCUACCAAGGCGACGAUCAGUAGCUGGUCUGAGAGGACGACCAGCCACACUGGAACUGAGACACGGCCCAGACUCCUACGGGAGGCAGCAGUGGGGAAUUUUGGACAAUGGGCGAAAGCCUGAUCCAGCAAUGCCGCGUGUGUGAAGAAGGCCUUCGGGUUGUAAAGCACUUUUGUCCGGAAAGAAAUCCUUGGCUCUAAUACAGUCGGGGGAUGACGGUACCGGAAGAAUAAGCACCGGCUAACUACGUG